Molecule: long non-coding RNA, 6197 nt
Organism: Harpia harpyja (harpy eagle)
Lineage: Eukaryota; Metazoa; Chordata; Aves; Accipitriformes; Accipitridae
Exons: 5
Source: RefSeq, a predicted model, not a curated record
CCGAAGCGCUUAAAGGCCGUUUUCUGGCGGAGAGGAUCCGGGGCAAAAUGCUUGCGCUGAGGCUGCGAAGCCAGCUCUGAGCCAGGGAAGCCUCUAAGCGCAAGCGCUGGCGAGCAGUUCUGUACAAGCUUGUUUUCAUCACUUACCAGACCCGAGUUGUGGCUCGCAGAGGGUUUUUUCUUUUCCGUUGCUGUCCUUCCUCACUGAAGUGGAAGCAGUGAGCCAGGAAGGUAGCCUAAGUUCGGAGCUCCCGUUGAGGAUUUUCUGCUUAGAGCUCACAAAUGGACUGUUUCUCAACAUUAUUUGUGAAGCGUGGAGUCCAAAAUAGCAGUUCAAAAGAGUCAUAUGAGUAUCUCCAGUCUUGCUCCUCUCUGAAUGUGAUUUGUUUUCUUUUUUUUUCAACAGCAUCUGAAUUUUAUUUUUCAUUCUAGAUUGCUAUUCUAGAUGGCUACUACCCAAAUGUAUCUAUAUGUUUGGUAUCUCUUUAUUAAGCACUGUUUUUCCCUUUGCUAAAUUUCAGUAGUUUUGAUCAGGGCCACUCAGUUUGUCAAACAUUUGAUUGUUUUCUUUUUAUUCCAUCUCAGCCAUUUUGUUACCCAGGUUAUUCAUAAAAAUACUGAAUAGGUCUUCCCUGGACAGGACAGAGCGUUGGAAAGCGGCAUGUGAAAUUUUCUCCUGCUUUAAAAACCCUUUACACACGGAAGAAAGCCACUUUCCCAUUAUUUUAUGUACAAGAAGUGAAGUUUCAAUAUAAAUCUUUGUUAAUUAACAAUUCCUAUGCAGAAUGAGUUUUCUCAGAAAAACAGGGGUUUGCCUUGUUUCCUAUGGAGGUCAAGGUUCUGUUUUCACAUAUCCGUCUAUGGGGGAGGUCUGCCUCUAUGUUCCCUGUCCUAAUAAUGAUCAUGAAAGCUGGCAUUUGGACGGAGUAGAGUACCUUGGCUGAAGGAAAAGCUGCACUUGGGGUCAGCGGUUAAACCCAAUCAAGAAUUCACACUAAAACAAGUUUUCCUAAGUGCUCCCUCUAUAGGUAAGUCCUUCAGCUGGCGUUCACGCUCUUCACAUGGGUUUGUGUGACCUCAACCACAGGAAACAAAGCUGCAGGAAACCAGGCUGCAAGCAGCUUUGCCAGAUGGAUCAGACCUCUGCCCAGCAGCCCUCACUUCUCAAAGAGGGUCCCAUGGAUGUGAAGGCUAAAGCCCAUUCUGUUACACCAGUCACACUGACAGGUAUUGACUCAGUCUCCUCUCCUACAGGACCCUCUCCCUUGGCUGUAAUGGGAAAUACGAAGGAGAACUGUGUGGGCUUCUGUGUCCUUCAUCUUCUCCUCCAGAGCCCUGCAGUCACUCAUGACAUGCUCCAAAUCUCUGCUGGUACUAUCAGAUAUUCCUACACGGUUGAGCCACAAAGGGUGUUACUCUGAGGGCUGGUCAAGCCUUGGCAAUCUCUCCUCAACAUCCCAGGGUAAUAAGUUUCAAGUGUAUUUGAUGGGGACAGACUUUUUAAUAGGGCCUGUAGCGACAGGACAAGGGGUAAUGGUUUUAAACUAAAAGAAGGUAGAUUCAGACUACAUAUAAGGAAGAAAUGUUUUUGCAAUGUGGGUGGUGAAACACUGGAACAGGUUUCCCAGAGAGGUGGUAGAUGCUCCAUCCCUGGAAGCAUUCAAGGUCAGGUUGGACGGGGCUCUGAGCAACCUGAUGUAGUUGAAGAUGUCCCUGAUCAUUGCAGGGGGGUUGGACUAGAUGACCUUAGGUCCCUUCCAACCCAAACCAUUGUGUGAUGCUAUGAUUCCGUGAUUCUGUUUACCUCACUGAUGGGAUUUGGUCACUUUUAGUUUCCAAACUAUGUGAUCUUCUAGAUUUCACGUUUGACACAAGCAGAAUUGGCCUGGAGUGAUUGAAUUAAAUCUGAUCAGAAAAGGGAAUUUCCUUUUUCUAAAAGUGCAGAUUGCUGAUGGGGAGAAAAUACAGACACUGCAGAAUUUCCAGUGAAAUGAGUGGGUAUCCUUACUACCACUGCUUAGCCAUCGAACAGCCUGCUGAUGUGACUGACAGUUCAGAGAGAAGGCAGCCCUACCUGUUUCUGCUUUGGCAGCCUGGGGCAUUUGGAAGCAUCAGCAAGGGCUCAGAUGUAUUUGGUCUCUUUUUUGGUCUUCUGUGGAUAGAAAUCUGUGUUCCCCUCCUCUAACACCUCCAUUGAUGUCUUUUGGUGGCUGUAGAAAGUAAGGAACUGUCUAAGACUCUGGAAGUCAGCAGAGUUGCUAAAGGAUUUGAGUUGAGGAAAUCUUAGUGUCAGCACCGCAGAAAUGAUCUUCUUCCAGCAAGAUAUUAGCAGAUAACCUACCCUACAUUUUUGUCUAAAAGCACAUUAGUUAAACUUCAUUAAACCUUUCUUCCAGAAUUAAUUUGGCAUAGCUUAAUUUACUUUUGAGUUUAAGGCCACUUCAGAUUAAGAGUAGUUUCAUUCUGAGUAAGCGUCUGCACAGGAAUUUAGUUAAUCCACAUCAAAUUAAUUCUGAUUUAUAUACUUGAAUACACUCUGUUGACAGGCUCAGUGUUAACAGGACAGCUAGCAGCCGAUCCAAACACACAGUGAGCGACUAUUCCCUAAUAGCAAUGUCUGGUAAUUCUAGUGAAAAUGCUUGUAGCUAAACCAUAGCUAAAAUGAUGUUAAUAGGCUUUAAGUUCCUACUGAAAAAAUUUAAAAUUUAUCAAACCAAAAUAGCACAAAACUAGAGGUUUAUUUCUCUUUUAAGUACUUCUUCAUUGUGCAUUCCACUGAAUAAGCUCCAUCUUAAGUAUUUUAAAUUAGAAGAUGUUUUACUUUAACAAAUACAUAUGUAGGCUCCUUUUGUAUUCAGCCUUUGUGGAUGUAGAAGGCAAAACAUGCUUCUGCAUGUAUUUCCCUUCAUUUAACAGUAAAUUUCAGAACUCCAGCCUUCUUAAGGUUAUUUGAGCAGUUUCCCUCGCUUGUCUUCAGGCUGUGAAGGUCACACCAAAGCUGUUAUGUCUCACAUGAGCUGUGCCAUCAUAGCCUUACAUCGUAAGCUAGAAAGUCUUUAAUUCCACAGAUCAGAAGGUGGGCAAGUGUUAAGUUUUUUCUCGUCAUUCAGCUUCCUAUAUCCAUUCACACACUGGCUGAGAAAGGUAAACAGUACAUCCUAGAAAGGCAAAAACCCCAAGAUAAUGAAUUGUAAUACGGCAACACCCCCCACCCCAUCAGCUUGCAUUCAUUUCAGACAGCAAAUUAUUAGGUGUUCAACUUCUACAUGUUUAUUGAGAGUAUCUUGUUGCUCUGAUCUUGAGAUAUCAAGUAGUACAAAAUUUUGGAUGUCAAGGAUUCUGUCUUAUGUUUCAUGGCAAUAAUUAUAGGAGGAAAGUAAUUCUCCUGGUUCCAAGAUGCCGUUUAUUUUUCAUCAGAUUUCUCUUUGGCGGAGGGUUUCUUCUUUUAUACUUCUACAGUUUACUGCUAUACCACUUAAAAAAGGGGGUUUUCAAUUAUUUCUAGUCCACAAAAGGAAAGAAGAGUUGUAUUGCAUCUUGACUUAAGGAGGCUCUUGUCUGCUAAAACUUAAAUUCAGAUGAUAUCACUAGCCACUGUAAUUCCAUCUUUUUUAAUAGUGAAGCUUGUUUAGUUUUACAGCCUUCACGUCAUCAUAAUUACUUAGCAUAGAAAAUGCUUGCAGUUUUCAGCAGUGCUGAGCCUUCAUCACCAUAAGGCUUGCCCUGUGGUGUGUUGACAGUCCUCUUCUCCAAGGCCUUUUCCUAUUUAGCAUUUUUUCCCUGCUAUGUUUCUCAAUCCUAUUUGUAUUUUUUUCAGAAUGAUCUUUAUUUAUUUUAUGUCGUCAAAAAAUACAUGAAAAUUGACAAAAUGACCUUCUGGGUAACAAUUUCAGUCAUGGUAUUUUUUCCCAUGUUUUCAAAAGGUAAGAUGACCAGUAUCUUUGCAGAACUCUUUGGUACUGUAGGAAAAAAAUACACAGUAUAUAGUACUCCCUAGUAUGAGCACAGAGUGGUCCACAAACUAUGAAAAGUAAUUUAGUGAUUCAGAAAUAAAACAGAACUUGCUCCUUUUAGGAAAUCAUCAGCCCUGUAACAACUGGCUAAGGUGAUAUAACAACAGAGUCAGCAUGGUAGCUUAUGCCCAGUGGGGACUGGGAGCCUACUCCUAGUACUACUUCUACUAGUUUUCUUUGACAGAGGCAACGGAGGAGCAUACAGGGAAGAGCCUAAAUUAAUUUUUCCAUGAGCAACAGUAAUGUGGAAGUUUUCCAUAGUUCUUCUUGCCAUGCACAUCAACCCAGCUGCAUGAUAGGGAAAAGCAGAACUGUCCCUGACAAAAAGAGAGGAGCAUACAGCAUAAAUUCUUUCUGCAUUAGCAGUCAGGCCAUAGCCAUCCUGUCUGUUGUGUAUACUCUGUGUAACAUAGAGUUAAUCAGUCUUUACUUACUCACUAAAUGGGGUGCUUCCAUGGUGCAUCACACUUAACUAUGCUGAAGGUAUGCAAUAAAGUUAUGCCAUGUAUUGGGAAUGCAACUUGUCUUGGCACAGAAAAAAACAAAACAGCCAUCCUUUCCCAGACAGGUAUGGCAGCACUAAUCUAAUUCACGUGAGUUAGACUAAGUAGAGAUCAAAGUAUUUGUAUCCUGAUAACUCAAAGCAAGGUAUUAAAACAGUUCCCUUAAGUGAAAGCAAUGAAAAUGUAUAGUUCCUCUAGUAUAAUGUCAGUUGAAGCAAAGAGAAAACACAGAGAAAAGUUUAUGACAAUUUUAAUAUUUAUGUCUAACAAAAAUGAAGGAAAUGAUGCAAUAUCCAGUUUAAGUAGUACAAUGUCACAUAUAAAAUAAAAACAACUGUUUUGGAAAAAAUAUGUUGAUUACUGUAGACAAUGAAAGGAAGAAGAGAAGAGAAAGAAAACGGAAAGGUAAGUACAGAUCAAUUAUACAAAUGGACUGGUUUCCAAAACAAACGGGUCAUACAGAGAUUCAUAGGCUUGUUAACAUUUCCUAGUAGAUUCAUCCCUAAUUUGUCUGUAUUAAGACUGCUUCUCUUUCCACUUUUACUGGAAAGAAAAAUUGUAAUUGGGACUUUUUGGAGCAUGAACUGGUUGGGUUUGCUGAACAUUCCAUCUACUCUGUGGCUCAUUCUUUCAGCUUUCAUCCUUAUAAGUUGGAUUUUCUGUCAGUAAUUUGCAUUUGAAUUAUGAAAAAUUACUGAAGAUUUCAUUGUACUUUCUUACAUGAAAAUUUUGCUAUAAUGACAACAAGCAUGGAUAUUUUGUUUUACAUAAGUCAAUUUAGAACAUGGAAUUGUCCCAUUGUUUGGAAUAGUUCAGUAGUUCAGCUUUACAAGGGCUAAGUUCACGAGUGUCUCUUAAAACAUGCAAACAUUUUAUCCUACACCUCAGAUAAAGAUCAAAUAGUUUUAAAUACCAUACUUGCAGUAAGCAGAUGUUUGACUUUAUGUUGUGAGUUGAGUAAAUUCCAUGCAUUUUUUUAUAUAUAAGUUGGGCUCUGCCUUUUCUGCCAAAGGAAUUACAGAGGUCUAACUGAUGCUUAGUAAUGCAUGUGAUCUACCUGAGUUUUAGAGAAAAGUAGACUUGAACAGGUAAGCCAGCCAGUAAGAAAUAGUACUUUGCUGAGCCUUAUUUUAAGGUAAUUAUCUUGAUCAGAAUUGAAAUUCUGUUAAUUCUGUCUAUUGAAUGGGAAAAAAUGAAAUGACAAAUUUAACUCUCAUGAGUGCAGUUCUGUGAGGGGAAAAAUACGUUACCUAUUAUAUGUUUAUUCAGAACAAAUUCCUGUGGUUAGUAUCAUAUUUGAUAAACAGAAAUUAUAUAAAUCUGAAGAAAGCUGUGACUCAGUAUACAUGCUGGUUUAUAUUUAGGAUAAAUGUGAAACAAAAUGAUGUGCUAGAGAGGAUUCAAAGCACUUUUGGCCAAAGUACUGCCACAGACUGGAAGACAUACAAGGUGUAUCUCUGUGGCAUUAAAACACUUUGGAAAUGUACAUGUGAUGUAUCGGGAAUAAAUGGGAAUAACAACAUUAUUUCAGAAUUUUAGUAUCUUUAAAAUUGACACAAAGAAAGAUAUACUCAUCGUUCCUCAAACCUCCUUCAAAUCAUAUGCAUGAAGCACUAGAUGUUACUAUUAAAACUGUAACCGUGCUUUCCAGGAAAUAAAUACAGCUGUCUGCAGUAAAGGUU